Molecule: small RNA, 209 nt
Filed under: Vigna angularis var. angularis
Lineage: Eukaryota; Viridiplantae; Streptophyta; Magnoliopsida; Fabales; Fabaceae
Description: Non-protein coding transcript
Source: RNAcentral
CGAGAUUCGAUCCGACGUCGACCCCUCCGAUCCGGACGACCAACAACCCUUCAACCCCUAGGCUACCUUUACCCUUGGUCCCAAAAUCAAUAAUUGGGACCAAGAGCGCCAAAAUUGGCUCACUCAAAACCCUCAAUACCCUAAUUUCAUCAUAGGUUCUCGGUGACUAUGGAUGAGACUCGAUUUGGGUUUCUUUAGGUUUAUGCGGU